Molecule: ribosomal RNA, 397 nt
Filed under: uncultured bacterium
Lineage: Bacteria
Description: partial 16S ribosomal RNA
Rfam family: Bacterial small subunit ribosomal RNA
Source: RNAcentral
AUACGUAGGGGGCGAGCGUUGUCCGGAAUGAUUGGGCGUAAAGGGCGUGUAGGCGGCCUGUUAAGUCUGAAGUGAAAGUCCUGUUUUCAAGAUGGGAAUUGCUUUGGAUACUGGCGGGCUUGAGGGUUGGGGAGGGUAUUGGAGUUUCCCGGUGUGCGGGGAAAUGAGUAGAGAUCGGGAGGAAAACCAGUGGCGAAGGCGGGUAACUGGACUGCAACUGACGCUGAGGCGCGAAAGUGUGGGGAGCAAACAGGAUUAGAUACCCUGGUAGUCCACACUGUAAACGAUGAAUGCUAGGUGUAGGGGGUAUCGACCCCUUCUGUACCGCAGCAAACACAAUAAGCAUUCCGCCUGGGGAGUACGGCCGCAAGGUUGAAACUCAAAGGAAUUGACGGGG